Molecule: ribosomal RNA, 2049 nt
Filed under: anaerobic digester metagenome
Description: bacterial LSU rRNA
Rfam family: Bacterial large subunit ribosomal RNA
Source: RNAcentral
GUAAAGAGCAAAGGGCGCAAGGUGGAUGCCUAAGCACCAAAUGGCGAUGAAGGACGUGGCGAACUGCGAAAAGCCUCGGGGAGCUGUAAGCGAGCUUUGAUCCGGGGAUAUCCGAAUGGGGAAACCUGUCAGGAGUGAAAUCUUGACAUCUCCGUAAGGGGAGGCGAACCUGGUGAACUGAAACAUCUUAGUAGCCAGAGGAAGAGGAAGUAACAACGAUUCUCUGAGUAGUGGCGAGCGAAAGGGGAUUAGCCUAAACCGGCGCAGAGUCGGGGUAGAGGGACGGCGAGGUCUGGUAAUUACUUAUAGGCGAACCGAUCUGGAAAGGUCGACCGUAGAGGGUGAUAGUCCUGUAGUUGAAAUAGGUAAUUAUUGGUAGUCGGAUCCCGAGUAGCCUGGGGCACGAGGAAUCCUGGGUGAAUCAGCGAGGACCAUCUCGUAAGGCUAAAUACAUUUGGUGACUGAUAGCGUAGCAGUACCGUGAGGGAAAGGUGAAAAGGACCCCGGGAGGGGAGUGAAAUAGAACCUGAAACCUUGUGCCUACAAGCGGUCAGAGCUGGUAGCGUAAGUUACUGGUGAUGGCGUGCCUUUUGCAUAAUGAGCCGACGAGUUAAUGUUUUAAGCGAGGUUAAGUGUUACAGGCACGUAGCCGUAGCGAAAGCGAGUCGUAAAUAGGCGUGAUAGUUUAAGGCAUUAGACCCGAAACCGGGUGAUCUACUCCUGGUCAGGCUGAAGGUUGGGUAAAACCAGCUGGAGGGCCGCACCAACCGUCGUUGAAAAGGCGGUGGAUGAACUGGGGGUAGGGGUGAAAGGCCAAUCAAACCCGGAGAUAGCUGGUUCUCUUCGAAACAUAUUUAGGUAUGGCCUCAGGAGAGAUUAAUAGAGGUAGAGCACUGAAUGGGCUAGGGGGCUUAUAGGCUUACUGAACCCAAUCAAACUCCGAAUGCUAUUAAUUGAUUUCUGGGAGACAGGGCGUGGGGGAUAAGCUUCACGUGCGAGAGGGGAAGAACCCAGACUGUCAGCUAAGGUCCUUAAAUAGGUGUUAAGUGCUAAAGGAUGUGCAAUUGCAGAGACAGCCAGGAUCUUGGCUUAGAAGCAGCCAUGAUUUAAAGAGUGCGUAACAGCUCACUGGUCGAGUGGUAGUGCACCGAAGAUAAUCGGGACUUAAGCAUCUUACCGAAGCUGCGGAGUAGCCAUAGAUUUAAUUUUUGGAUAAAACUGAGGAUUAGAUAGGUUACUGGUAGGAGAGCAUUGUGUAUACGGAGAAGGUAUACUGGGAGGUAUGCUGGAGUGUACACAAGAGACCAUGUCGGCAUGAGUAACGAUAAUGCGGGUGAGAAACCCGCACACCACAAGCCCGAGGAUUCCUGAGUAAAGAUAAUCUUCUCAGGGUUAGUCGGUCCCUAAGGUAUAGCGAUGAGGCGAAGCUGAAGGGAAUCAGGUUAAUAUUCCUGAACCUUUGCAUAAUGCGAUGGAGUGACGCGAUGGUGCGGCAGGGACGGCUGUUGGAAUAGCCGUUGAAUGCGUGUAGGAGGUGAUGCAGGCAAAUCCACAUCACAGGGACUCCGAGGCGUAGGACGAGGCGUAAGCCAUAAAGUCUGCUUAGAUACAUUGCCGAGAAAUAGCUUCUAAGCGUCAGUUAUGCAGAGACCGUACCGCAAACCGACACAGGUGGGCGAGGAGAAUAUCCUAAGGUGUUCGAGCGAACUCUGGUUAAGGAACUAGGCAAAAUGGCCCCGUAACUUCGGGAGAAGGGGUACCCCGUUAUGGUGAAGGAGCACAUCUGGAGCCAGAGGGGGUCGCAGUGAAGAGGCCCAAGCGACUGUUUACCAAAAACACAGGUCUAUGCGAAGGCGAAAGCCACGGUAUAUAGACUGACACCUGCCCGGUGCCGGAAGGUUAAGUGGAGAGGUUAUCCUAACUGGGAACAGUUAGGAGAAGCUUCGAAACGAAGCCCCGGUAAACGGCGGCCGUAACUAUAACGGUCCUAAGGUAGCGAAAUUCCUUGUCGGGUAAGUUCCGACCUGCACGAAUGGUGUAACGAUUUGG